RNAcentral lists this ribosomal RNA (1496 nucleotides) under uncultured prokaryote. RNAcentral describes it as "partial 16S ribosomal RNA". It matches the Rfam family "Bacterial small subunit ribosomal RNA". The record is from RNAcentral.
UCAGUUUGAUCAUUGCUCAGAUUGAACGCUGGCGGCAGGCCUAACACAUGCAAGUCGAACGGUAACAGCAGAGCUUGCUCUGGCUGACGAGUGGCGGACGGGGAGUAACGCGCCGUAGGAAUCUACCCAGUAGUGGGGGACAACUUGGGGAAACUCAAGCUAAUACCGCAUACGCCCUACGGGGGAAAGCGGGGGACCUUCGGGCCUCGUGCUAUUGGAUGAGCCUGCGUUAGAUUAGCUAGUUGGUAGGGUAAAGGCCUACCAAGGCGACGAUCUAUAGCUGGUCUGAGAGGAUGAUCAGCCACACUGGAACUGAGACACGGUCCAGACUCCUACGGGAGGCAGCAGUGGGGAAUAUUGCACAAUGGGCGCAAGCCUGAUGCAGCCACGCCGCGUGUGUGAAGAAGGCUCUAGGGUUGUAACGCACUGUAAGCAGGGAGGACGGUAAGUUAGUUAAUAUCUGACUGGAGUGACGUUACCUGCAGAAUAAGCACCGGCUAACUCCGUGCCAGCAGCCGCGGUAAUACGGAGGGUGCAAGCGUUAAUCGGAAUUACUGGGCGUAAAGCGCGCGUAGGCGGUUGUUUAAGUCGGAUGUGAAAGCCCUGGGCUCAACCCAGGAAGUGCAUUGGAAACUGGCCAACUAGAGUAUGGUAGAGGUGAGUGGAAUUUCCUGUGUAGCGGUGAAAUGCGUAGAUAUAGGAAGGAACACCAGUGGCGAAGGCGACUCACUGGACCAAUACUGACACUGAGGUGCGAAAGCGUGGGAGCAAACAGGAUUAGAUACCCUGGUAGUCCACGCCGUAAACGAUGUCUACUAGCCGUUGGGAGACUUGAUCUCUUAGUGGCGCAGCUAACGCAAUAAGUAGACCGCCUGGGGAGUACGGCCGCAAGGUUAAAACUCAAAUGAAUUGACGGGGGCCCGCACAAGCGGUGGAGCAUGUGGUUUAAUUCGAUGCAACGCGAAGAACCUUACCUGGUCUUGACAUCCUACGAACUUACUAGAGAUAGUUUGGUGCCUUCGGGAACGUAGUGACAGGUGCUGCAUGGCUGUCGUCAGCUCGUGUUGUGAAAUGUUGGGUUAAGUCCCGUAACGAGCGCAACCCUUAUCCUUAUUUGCCAGCCUAAUGGUGGGAACUCUAGGGAGACUGCCGGUGAUAAACCGGAGGAAGGUGGGGAUGACGUUAAGUCAUUAUGGCCCUUAUGAGUAGGGCUACACACGUGCUACAAUGGUCGGUACAGAGGGUUGCCAAGCCGUGAGGUGGAGCUAAUCCCAGAAAGCCGGUCGUAGUCCGGAUUGGAGUCUGUAAUUCGACUCCAUGAAGUCGGAAUCGCUAGUAAUCGCGAAUUAGCAUGUCGCGGUGAAUACGUUCCCGGGCCUUGUACACACCGCCCGUCACACCAUGGGAGUGGAUUGCUCCAGAAGUAGGUUGCCUAACCUUCGGGAGGGCGCUUACCACGGUGUGCUUCAUGACUGGGGUGAAGUAGGAACAAGGUA